This 1242-nucleotide ribosomal RNA is filed under the name metagenome. RNAcentral's name for it is "bacterial LSU rRNA". It matches the Rfam family "Bacterial large subunit ribosomal RNA", at positions 1564 to 2815 of the family's 2925-position model. The record is from RNAcentral.
UGAGUACGAGAUGCUACGGCGUCGAAGCAGUGUAUGUCAGACUUCCAAGAAAAGCUCGCUAUGUCAUAAAUAAAUAAUGCCUGUACCAUAACCGACACAGGUGGGUAGGUAGAGUAUACUAAGGGGCGCGAGAUAACUCUCUCUAAGGAACUCGGCAAAAUAACUCCGUAACUUCGGGAGAAGGAGUGCCUUAUUUAAUAAGGUUGCAAUAACAAGAUCCAAGCAACUGUUUAUCAAAAACACAGGUCUCCGCUAAGUCGUAAGACGAUGUAUGGGGGCUGACGCCUGCCCAGUGCCAGAAGGUUAAGGAAGUUGGUUAGCAUCUGCGAAGCUGAUAACUGAAGCCCUGGUGAACGGCGGCCGUAACAAUAACGGUCCUAAGGUAGCGAAAUUCCUUGUCGGGUAAGUUCCGACCCGCACGAAAGGCGUAAUGAUUUGGAUACUGUCUCGGAGAGGGGCUCGGUGAAAUAGACUUGUCUGUGAAGAUGCGGACUACCUGCACCAGGACAGAAAGACCCUAUGAAGCUUUACUGUAACUUGGAAUUGAAAUCGGACUUUAUUUGCGCAGUAUAGGUGGGAGGCAUUGAGAAUAUUCUUGCGGGAAUAUUGGAGCCAUCAGUGAGAUACCACUCCUGUAAUGUUAGGUUUCUAACUUUGUAUCAUAAUCUGGUCAAAGGACAGUUUCAGGCGGGCAGUUUGACUGGGGCGGUCGCCUCCUAAAUGGUAACGGAGGCGUACAAAGGUUUCCUCUGAACGGGUAGAAAUCGUAUCUAGAGUGUAAAGGCAUAAGGAAGCUUGACUGUGAGACCUACAAGUCGAGCAGGGACGAAAGUCGGUCUUAGUGAUCUGACGGUGCUGAGUGGAAAGGCCGUCACUCAACGGAUAAAAGUUACUCUAGGAUAACAGGCUGAUCUCCCCCAAGAGUUCACACCGACGGGGAGGUUUGGCACCUCGAUGUCGGCUCAUCGCAUCCUGGGGCGGUAGUACGUCCCAAGGGUUGGGCUGUUCGCCCAUGAAAGCGGUACGCGAGCUGGGUUCAGAACGUCGUGAGACAGUUCGGUCCAUAUCCGGUGUAGGCGUUAGAAUAUUGAGAGGAGCCUUCUUUAGUACGAGAGGACCGAGAAGGACAUACCUCUGGUGUACCAGUUAUCGUGCCAACGGUAAACGCUGGGUAGCUAUGUAUGGAGAGGAUAACCGCUGAAAGCAUCUAAGUGGGAAGCCCACCUCAAGAUGAGUAUUCUC